AACGACGUGAUCUGCCUCUGAAGACGAUGAACUGAUAGGCGUCUCCACCCUGAUCCUAUAUCGCCUUUUCAAGUGAGUCAUAAGUGCCCCAGCAUACAGCGUCUAUUUUACAAAGCUCCGUCCACCAAUAGGGUAUUUACCGGCCAGAGUGCAAGCCAAAGUGCAAUAAAGCAUAGCUGAAGCUUUGCUGAGACUGCAUGUGAUCUGCUGAGAAGCCCAAGAAAGCCAAUUGGACAUGCAGUGCCUGCUCUGAUCUGCUCUGCAGAGCCUUCCAGCCUUAUGUCCACGACUUUGAACAUUACUCAGGGCCUUGAAGUUAACCACACCUGACAUUUCCUCAGACUCUUCCGCUCAACGUCGCAAGCAGAUCAACGUUUGAAGAUUCUCAUCUUUAAAAUUGCCAGAUCACAAAGAGUCGGACCCGUAAAGAUGCUCAAGCUCGAGCGGUAGACGCACAGAUUCGAGGGCUGAAAAUCCUCGGCGUCGACGUGAUGCCAAAACAUUUUACAGUUUAUACGGGCAAGGAUGACUCACCAUCUGUUCACGGUGAUGCAGGCCAGAUUUGCUGCCAUUUGUACAAAACACGAGCAUAAUGUCUUCUUCUAAAUCAUGUUGUGACUUGCAAAAAAAUAAAAAAUGAA
This is a long non-coding RNA of Poecilia reticulata (guppy), 641 nucleotides long. RefSeq lists it as uncharacterized. The record is from RefSeq and is a predicted model, not a curated record. Lineage: Eukaryota; Metazoa; Chordata; Actinopteri; Cyprinodontiformes; Poeciliidae.